This 543-nucleotide ribosomal RNA is filed under the name uncultured archaeon. RNAcentral's name for it is "bacterial SSU rRNA". It matches the Rfam family "Archaeal small subunit ribosomal RNA", at positions 457 to 997 of the family's 1478-position model. The record is from RNAcentral.
GUCAGCCGCCGCGGUAACACCGGCGGCCCGAGUGGUGAUCGUGAUUAUUGGGUCUAAAGGGUCCGUAGCCGGUUUGGUCAGUCCUCCGGGAAAUCUGAUAGCUCAACUAUUAGGCUUUCGGGGGAUACUGCCAGACUUGGAACCGGGAGAGGUAAGAGGUACUACAGGGGUAGGAGUGAAAUCUUGUAAUCCCUGUGGGACCACCUGUGGCGAAGGCGUCUUACCAGAACGGGUUCGACGGUGAGGGACGAAAGCUGGGGGGCACGAACCGGAUUAGAUACCCGGGUAGUCCCAGCCGUAAACGAUGCUCGCUAGGUGUCAGGCAUGGCGCGACCGUGUCUGGUGCCGCAGGGAAGCCGUGAAGCGAGCCACCUGGGAAGUACGGCCGCAAGGCUGGAACCUAAAGGAAUUGGCGGGGGAGCACAACAACGGGUGGAGCCCUGCGGUUUAAUUGGACUCAACGCCGGACAACUCACCGGGGGCGACAGCAAUAUGUAGGCCAAGCUGAAGACUUUGCCUGAAUCGCUGAGAAGAGGUGCAUGG